Molecule: long non-coding RNA, 357 nt
Organism: Salarias fasciatus (jewelled blenny)
Lineage: Eukaryota; Metazoa; Chordata; Actinopteri; Blenniiformes; Blenniidae
Exons: 6
Source: RefSeq, a predicted model, not a curated record
GCAGCAACCAGCUGGAAGAUCAGUGCAACACAUAUGCUUCUCCGUUCCAAGGUGAAUCCACUAAUGUGUUAUAUUCUUCAGUAGAACUUAAAAACAUCAAGAACGGUGAAUCUGAUAAUGUGACUUAUUCUUCAAUUGAGCUUAAAAAAGUCAAGAAUGUGAAGAAGAAGAAACCAGAAGAGAGCACUGUUUAUGCUGAUGUGAGGACCACAUCAUCUCAAGAUGAUGAAGUGACCUAUGCUCAAGUACUCCCCAAUAAACGUAAAGCAAAAGGCAAGAAAGGGAGGACAGCUCCAGCAGCCACUGAAGAAACAGUUUAUUCCGAAGUCAAAGCAGAAACCACUCACGGUAACUGAG